GAUGAACGCUGUCUACAGGCUUAACACAUGCAAGUCGAGGGGAAACGACGGGGAAGCUUGCUUCCCCGGGCGUCGACCGGCGCACGGGUGAGUAACGCGUAUCCAACCUGCCUCUGACUGAGGGAUAACCCGUCGAAAGUCGGCCUAAUACCUCAUGGCAUCGUCUGCGGGCAUCCAACGACGAUUAAAGAUUUCAUCGGUCAGGGAUGGGGAUGCGUCUGAUUAGCUUGUUGCGGGGUAACGGCCCACCAAGGCUACGAUCAGUAGGGGUUCUGAGAGGAAGGUCCCCCACAUUGGAACUGAGACACGGUCCAAACUCCUACGGGAGGCAGCAGUGAGGAAUAUUGGUCAAUGGGCGGGAGCCUGAACCAGCCAAGUAGCGUGCAGGAUGACGGCCCUAUGGGUUGUAAACUGCUUUUAUGCGGGGAUAAAGUGAGGGACGUGUCCUUCAUUGCAGGUACCGCAUGAAUAAGGACCGGCUAAUUCCGUG
This 490-nucleotide ribosomal RNA is filed under the name uncultured bacterium. RNAcentral describes it as "partial 16S ribosomal RNA". It matches the Rfam family "Bacterial small subunit ribosomal RNA", at positions 28 to 507 of the family's 1533-position model. The record is from RNAcentral.